AUUGAACGCUGGCGGCAUGCCUUACACAUGCAAGUCGAACGGCAGCAUAGGAGCUUGCUCCUGAUGGCGAGUGGCGAACGGGUGAGUAAUAUAUCGGAACGUGCCCUAGAGUGGGGGAUAACUAGUCGAAAGACUAGCUAAUACCGCAUACGAUCUACGGAUGAAAGUGGGGGAUCGCAAGACCUCAUGCUCCUGGAGCGGCCGAUAUCUGAUUAGCUAGUUGGUGGGGUAAAAGCCCACCAAGGCGACGAUCAGUAGCUGGUCUGAGAGGACGACCAGCCACACUGGGACGGAGACACGGCCCAGACUCCUACGGGAGGCAGCAGUGGGGAAUUUUGGACAAUGGGGGCAACCCUGAUCCAGCAAUGCCGCGUGAGUGAAGAAGGCCUUCGGGUUGUAAAGCUCUUUUGUCCGGGAAGAAACGGUUCUGGAUAAUACCUGGGACUAAUGACGGUACCUGAAGAAUAAGCACCGGCUAACUACGUGCCAGCAGCCGCCGUAA
RNAcentral lists this ribosomal RNA (502 nucleotides) under uncultured bacterium. RNAcentral's name for it is "partial 16S ribosomal RNA". It matches the Rfam family "Bacterial small subunit ribosomal RNA", at positions 30 to 523 of the family's 1533-position model. The record is from RNAcentral.